GACGAACGCUGGCGGCGUGCUUAACACAUGCAAGUCGAACGGAAAGGCCCUGCUUUUGUGGGGUGCUCGAGUGGCGAACGGGUGAGUAACACGUGAGUAACCUGCCCUUGACUUUGGGAUAACUUCAGGAAACUGGGGCUAAUACCGGAUAGGAGCUCCUGCUGAAUGGUGGGGGUUGGAAAGUUUCGGCGGUUGGGGAUGGACUCGCGGCUUAUCAGCUUGUUGGUGGGGUAGUGGCUUACCAAGGCUGUGACGGGUAGCCGGCCUGAGAGGGUGACCGGCCACAUUGGGACUGAGAGACGGCCCAGACUCCUACGGGAGGCAGCAGUGGGGAAUAUUGCACAAUGGGCGGAAGCCUGAUGCAGCAACGCCGCGUGCGGGAUGACGGCCUUCGGGUUGUAAACCGCUUUCGCCUGUGACGAAGCGUGAGUGACGGUAAUGGGUAAAGAAGCACCGGCUAACUACGUG
Molecule: ribosomal RNA, 468 nt
Filed under: uncultured bacterium
Lineage: Bacteria
Description: partial 16S ribosomal RNA
Rfam family: Bacterial small subunit ribosomal RNA
Source: RNAcentral